GGCUUGGUGGUCUAGUGGUAUGAUUCUCGCUUUGGGUGCGAGAGGUCCCGGGUUCAAUUCCCGGCCAAGCCC
Syncephalis plumigaleata is the source of this 72-nucleotide non-coding RNA. The record is from the annotation of a GenBank genome assembly. Lineage: Eukaryota; Fungi; Zoopagomycota; Zoopagomycetes; Zoopagales; Piptocephalidaceae.